GAUGAACGCUGGCGGCGUGCCUAAUACAUGCAAGUCGAGCGAACAGACGAGGAGCUUACUCCUCUGACGUUAGCGGCGGACGGGUGAGUAACACGUGGAUAACCUACCUAUAAGACUGGGAUAACUUCGGGAAACCGGAGCUAAUACCGGAUAAUAUAUUGAACCGCAUGGUUCAAUAGUGAAAGACGGUUUUGCUGUCACUUAUAGAUGAAUCCGCGCCGCAUUAGCUAGUUGGUAAGGUAACGGCUUACCAAGGCAACGAUGCGUAGCCGACCUGAGAGGGUGAUCGGCCACACUGGAACUGAGACACGGUCCAGACUCCUACGGGAGGCAGCAGUAGGGAAUCUUCCGCAAUGGGCGAAAGCCUGACGGAGCAACGCCGCGUGAGUGAUGAAGGUCUUCGGAUCGUAAAACUCUGUUAUUAGGGAAGAACAAAUGUGUAAGUAACUAUGCACGUCUUGACGGUACCUAAUCAGAAAGCCACGGCUAACUACGUG
This 497-nucleotide ribosomal RNA is filed under the name uncultured bacterium. RNAcentral describes it as "partial 16S ribosomal RNA". It matches the Rfam family "Bacterial small subunit ribosomal RNA", at positions 28 to 507 of the family's 1533-position model. The record is from RNAcentral.